Molecule: long non-coding RNA, 370 nt
Organism: Dipodomys ordii (Ord's kangaroo rat)
Lineage: Eukaryota; Metazoa; Chordata; Mammalia; Rodentia; Heteromyidae
Exons: 3
Source: RefSeq, a predicted model, not a curated record
GAUCUACUAGACUCUCUGCUCAGAAGAAUUUGGAGCAGAAGGAAAAAUGCCAGAUUCAAAUGAAAGCAAAGAGAUGUUCAACACCUGUCAUCAUCAGUGAAAUUCCACCUUCCAAGAAAAUGAAAGUGUCUCACAAUGAAAAGAAGCCAAAGGAAAAUGAAGACCGUGCUCAAGGUACUUCCAAAAAGAAUGGAUCUUCCCCAGAGAAAGCCAAGGGCAAACAUUCUUUGACUUGUGUGCCACCUCUAAGGCAGAAGGUUCUAAAAAGUACUGAGGAGCAAGAGUUAGAGAAAUCAUUGAAAAUGCAGCAGGAAGUGAUGGAGAUGCGGAAAAAAAAUGAAGAAUUUAAGAAGCUUGCUCUUGAAGGAGC